GAUGAACGCUGGCGGCGUGCCUAACACAUGCAAGUCGAGCGAUUCUCUUCGGAGAAGAGCGGCGGACGGGUGAGUAACGCGUGGGUAACCUGCCCUGUACACACGGAUAACAUACCGAAAGGUAUGCUAAUACGGGAUAAUGUAAGAGAGUCGCAUGGCUUUCUUAUCAAAGCUCCGGCGGUACAGGAUGGACCCGCGUCUGAUUAGCUAGUUGGUGAGGUAAUGGCGCACCAAGGCGACGAUCAGUAGCCGACCUGAGAGGGUGAUAGGCCACAUUGGCAGUGGGACACGAUCCAAACGCCGACGGGAGGCAGCAGUGGGGAAUAUUGCACAAUGGGCGAAAGCCUGAUGCAGCAACGCCGCGUGAGCGAUGAAGGCCUUCGGGUCGUAAAGCUCUGUCCUCAAGGAAGAUAAUGACGGUACUUGAGGAGGAAGCCCCGGCUAACUACGUGCCAGCCGCCGCUGUAA
RNAcentral lists this ribosomal RNA (468 nucleotides) under uncultured bacterium. RNAcentral's name for it is "partial 16S ribosomal RNA". It matches the Rfam family "Bacterial small subunit ribosomal RNA", at positions 28 to 523 of the family's 1533-position model. The record is from RNAcentral.